CCUACGGGCGGCAGCAGUGAGGAAUAUUGGUCAAUGGCCGGAAGGCUGAACCAGCCAUGCCGCGUGAAGGUCAGUGCCCUAUGGGCGUUAAACUUCUUUUGUGCGGGAGCAAUAAUGGUCACGUGUGGCCAGACGAGAGUACCGUACGAAUAAGCAUCGGCUAACUCCGUGCCAGCAGCCGCGGUAAUACGGGGGAUGCAAGCGUUAUCCGGAUUUAUUGGGUUUAAAGGGUGCGUAGGCUGGGAGGUAAGUCAGCGGUGAAAUGCCCCCGCGCAACGGGGUGAAGUGCCAUUGAUACUGGCUGGCUGGAAUGCGGAUGCCGUGGGAGGAAUGUGUGGUGUAGCGGUGAAAUGCAUAGAUAUCACACAGAACACCGAUUGCGAAGGCAUCUCACGAAUCCGCGAUUGACGCUGAUGCACGAAAGCGUGGGUAUCAAACAGGAUUAGAUACCCCUGUAGUC
Molecule: ribosomal RNA, 460 nt
Filed under: uncultured bacterium
Lineage: Bacteria
Description: partial 16S ribosomal RNA
Rfam family: Bacterial small subunit ribosomal RNA
Source: RNAcentral